This 1337-nucleotide long non-coding RNA is filed under the name Equus caballus (horse). RNAcentral describes it as "lncRNA (ENSECAG00000055600.1)". The record is from RNAcentral. Lineage: Eukaryota; Metazoa; Chordata; Mammalia; Perissodactyla; Equidae.
UUUAGUUAAAAGUCUGCUCUGAAUUGAAGCAGGAAGUUUCCUCCAUGGACUGCGUCUGUUUGCUUUUUGUUUGUGUGUUAAAUGAGAACUGGUGUGCUGGUAAACCCGCGCAUCUGCUGUAAAGUGUGACAUUCACGGUCUCAAGGUCAUUACCACAGACUAAGCAUUUACAAAGGGCCAGUGUGAUGGCUAAUUUCGUGUGUCAACCUGACUGGCCUAGGGAUGCCCAGACACCUAGUAAGACAUUAUUUCUGGGCGUGUCUGUGAGGCUUUUUCUGGAAGAGAUUAGCAUUUGGUUCAGUACACUGAGUAGAGAAACGCCCUCCCCAGUGUGGGCGGCAUCAUCCAGUCGUAUGGGGGCCCAAAUGGAACAAAACGGUGAAGGAAGGGCAAUUCUCUCUCUUCUGGAGCUGAGCUGUCCACCUUCUCCCGCCCUCGGACGUCUGAGCUCCUGCUUCUUGGGCCUGAGGCCUCCGGGACUUGCACCAGCAGCUGCCCUGGUUCUCAGGCCUUUGGAUUCAGAUGGAGUUACACCGCUGGUUCUCUGGCUCUGCAGCUGGCGGACAGCAGACUGUGGGACUUCUCAGCCUCCGCAACCACGUUCUGGAACUUCAGAUGGCUCAGCUUUACUUCUGCCUUUAACAUGAAAACAGCAGCAGCAGAGACGACCGCACUACUCAAACCACAUCCGCCCAGCCCUUCACAGCCUUCCCCACAGGCGGAUGAGGGAGAGAUGGAGAAACCGAGGCCGAAGGCCACAGUCUGGCCCCGGAGAGGAGGCUGCUGUCUUCGUCCAGGACGAGAGCCCUCGCCAGGGACAGAAUGUGCCGGCACCUUGAUCCUGGGCUUCCCAGCCUCCGGGACUGGAAUAAACAUCUGCCGUUUAGGCAACCUGGCCCAUGGUUUUCUUAUCUUCUGUUACACCUGAGCUAAGACAGUGUGCGAGUGUGUGAGAGAGGGAGCGUGUCUGUAGGAGAGAGUGUGUGCGAGAGUGUGUGUAUUUAUGCGCAUAUUUGAAAGUGAGUUGGAGAGAGCGUGUGCUUUUGCCCACUAAUACUUCUGUGUAUAUUUCCUAAGAAAAAGGAUAGUGCUUUAUGCAACCGUAGCACAGUUAGCAAAAUCUGCAAAUUUAACAUCGAUACAAUACUAUUACUCAAUCCACAGACCAUGUCUAAAUCUCAUCAAUCCGCACCACAAAGGAAUGCCCUUUAUAGCUCUGCUCUGUCUCUUUAGCCUUCUUUAAGUUUGGACAGCUCCUCAUCUUUUUUCAGUGAGAGUUGACCUUGGCGUUUUUGAGGAGUACAACCCAGUUCAUUUUAUAGAAUGUUUAUCCAUUU